CCUACGGGGGGCAGCAGUGGGGAAUAUUGGACAAUGGGGGGAACCCUGAUCCAGCCAUGCCGCGUGUGUGAAGAAGGCCCUCGGGUUGUAAAGCACUUUCAGUGAGGAAGAACGCCUGGUGGUUAAUACCCAUCAGGAAAGACAUCACUCACAGAAGAAGCACCGUCUAACUCCGUGCCAGCAGCCGCGGUAAUACGGAGGGUGCGAGCGUUAAUCGGAAUUACUGGGCGUAAAGCGCGCGUAGGUGGCUUGAUAAGCCGGUUGUGAAAGCCCCGGGCUCAACCUGGUAACGGCAUCCGGAACUGUCAAGCUAGAGUGCAGGAGAGGAAGGUAGAAUUCCCGGUGUAGCGGUGAAAUGCGUAGAGAUCGGGAGGAAUACCAGUGGCGAAGGCGGCCUUCUGGACUGACACUGACACUGAGGUGCGAAAGCGUGGGUAGCAAACAGGAUUAGAUACCCGAGUAGUC
Molecule: ribosomal RNA, 465 nt
Filed under: Vreelandella stevensii
Lineage: Bacteria; Pseudomonadati; Pseudomonadota; Gammaproteobacteria; Oceanospirillales; Halomonadaceae
Description: partial 16S ribosomal RNA
Rfam family: Bacterial small subunit ribosomal RNA
Source: RNAcentral